This is a long non-coding RNA of Cucumis melo (muskmelon), 705 nucleotides long. RefSeq lists it as uncharacterized. NCBI's taxonomy places the organism in Eukaryota, Viridiplantae, Streptophyta, Magnoliopsida, Cucurbitales, Cucurbitaceae. The transcript is spliced from 2 exons. The record is from RefSeq and is a predicted model, not a curated record.
AAACUUUAAGCAUAAGAGUAAGCAAAAUAGAAGUUGUGUCAUGUCCAGCAAUCAUUAGAAGGAUGAUAUUGUGCAGAAUUUCCUCCUCAGUCAAAGCUUGCUCUUUGUCUUUGUUUUUUAUUCUAAGCAAAUAAGUAAUUAGGCUGUGGUUAUACCUUGUGAAUGGGAGAUUAAUUGGAACAGACCAGAUGCCCUCAACCAUUGUUUUGAAGCAUUGUAUUAUGCUCUUUCUUGUUGUUCCUUCUUCAAUGCCAAACAGGAGAGAGCAUAUGAUGUCAAAGGUCAGAGUUUUCAUCAAUGGUGCCACCUGUGUUUUUGCAAAAAAAAAAAAAAAAAAAAACAACCAAAAUAUGUAAAAUGUUAAGACCCUAGAACCACAGACUAUUGUGCAGAUCAGAUUGGACAAGGUUGGGAACCAAACUCGAGGGAAGCACGCUAUGUUGAAAAUUAAAUAUGUUUUAAUUAAAUAAGUUAUUUGUGAAAUGAUUUAUACGAGUGCUGACAAAAAUUAAAGGAUGUGAGUUAAAAUGUACGUUAAAGUUAAUUUAAUAUAAUUUAAUAUGUAUUUCACAUUAAUUAAGUAUAGGAUUUAAAUUGUUGUAUUUAAUUGUGGUGUGAGUUAUGCUCAUGACAAUUCUAUUUAGGAUUGAUACGUUGUAUUGUAAAAUAUUCAGGUGUGAAAAGAAUAAGUUAAAGUCUUUCAAA